GGGGAUGUAAUGGUUUCGACGGGGGCACGAAUGUCUCUGUAAGCGAGUAGAAGGAUCUCGUGGACCUGCUUUAAAAAAACACGGGAAACGUUAAACGCAGAAGAUAAUUUUGCUUUAGCAGCGUAAGCUGCUUCGUUCUUGCCUGAUCCACCGGAGUUAGGACAAGGGCGUCAAAUAUCCGGUAAAACGAGCCUAGGAUAAGCUUUGCCCCUGGGAACGGAAUUAAUGAAGCUACCCAAUGGAUAGCCUGCUGCUGGGCGCUCCAACGGGGAAUUUAAAACAGUCAGCUGCACUCGGAGAAAGCAGUGAAGUUUGGCUUUCGGACACGGGUUCAACUCCCGUCAUCUCCACCA
RNAcentral lists this transfer-messenger RNA (353 nucleotides) under Clostridiaceae. RNAcentral's name for it is "JG1575 sp002838815 Standard tmRNA". It matches the Rfam family "transfer-messenger RNA". Rfam says of the family: Bacterial tmRNA, also known as 10Sa RNA or SsrA, is named for its dual tRNA and mRNA-like properties. Its role is to liberate the mRNA from a stalled ribosome. To accomplish this part of the tmRNA is used as a reading frame that ends in a translation stop signal. RNAcentral also lists the same sequence under 1 other name. The record is from RNAcentral. Lineage: Bacteria; Bacillati; Bacillota; Clostridia; Eubacteriales.